GUGGCGCGGGGGCUCAGAGAAGGCGGAGGGGGCGGUGAGGCCCGAACGCGGGAAAGGCGGAGACCCCGCCUCCCCGGGGCGGAGGGAGAGUUGGGCUCGUUGCUCCAGCCUCCGCCCGCGGCCUCGGGGAACGGCGGGCCCAGGCCGGAGGAGCUUUCGGUGGCGCGACCCCGCUGGCAUGCUCCCGGCCUCGGCCUCGGCCUCCGGGCCUCCAGCGCACGCGGGGCGUCCAGGGCUUCAUCUUCCCCUGGGGACCGCCCGGCAGUGUCCCGCUGCCCUCGGCGCAGGGGUGGGAGUUGCAGAGACGAAGAGUCGCUAACCCGGAGUGUUUCUUAAAACUUGGCUGACCUGUGACCUGCGGAUUUGGAGGCUGAAUUCUCCGAGCACCUGAAGCUACUGCAGGAUAUAAUCUAAGAAAAUAAGGGGAAGAAAACAAGAAAGAGGAAGACAUUGGAUCCAAGAAAUGGGGGAUCUAUCACCUUACAGAUGAAAAGAGAAUCUACAUGAUCUUUGUGAAGGUGAUUUGAGCAUAGCAGCUCUGCAGGAAACCUGGAGAGCAACAAGUGAGAUUAAUACAGGACACACAGCUCUAGUAAGGAUGUCACUAAGGAAAUUAAAAUCAUUUGUUGUAGAAUACUUUAUGAAUCAAUGCAGUAAGAGGAGG
RNAcentral lists this long non-coding RNA (664 nucleotides) under Pan troglodytes (chimpanzee). RNAcentral describes it as "long non-coding RNA NONPTRT010861". Lineage: Eukaryota; Metazoa; Chordata; Mammalia; Primates; Hominidae. The record is from RNAcentral.